This 253-nucleotide ribosomal RNA is filed under the name uncultured bacterium. RNAcentral describes it as "partial 16S ribosomal RNA". It matches the Rfam family "Bacterial small subunit ribosomal RNA", at positions 524 to 776 of the family's 1533-position model. The record is from RNAcentral.
GACGGGGGGUCCUAGCGUUGUUCGGAAUUAUUGGGCGUAAAGCGUGCGUAGGUGGCUAUGUAAGUCAGGAGUGAAAGCCCUGGGCUCAACCCAGGAAGAGCUUUUGAUACUGCAUAGCUUGAAUGUGGGAGAGGAUAGUGGAAUUCCAGGUGUAGUGGUGAAAUACGUAGAUAUCUGGAGGAACACCGGUGGCGAAGGCGGAUCUCUGGGCCUUACCUGACGCUCAGGUGCGAAAGCUAGGGGAGCGAACAGG